Molecule: ribosomal RNA, 253 nt
Filed under: uncultured bacterium
Lineage: Bacteria
Description: partial 16S ribosomal RNA
Rfam family: Bacterial small subunit ribosomal RNA
Source: RNAcentral
GACGUAGGGCGCGAGCGUUGUCCGGAUUUAUUGGGCGUAAAGAGCUCGUAGGCGGCUUGUCGCGUCGUCCGUGAAAACUUGGGGCUCAACCCCAAGCUUGCGGUCGAUACGGGCAGGCUAGAGUUCGGUAGGGGAGACUGGAAUUCCCGGUGUAGUGGUGAAAUGCGUAGAUAUCGGGAGGAACACCAGUGGCGAAGGCGACUACCUGGCCUGUCCUUGACGCUGAGGCGCGAAAGCUAGGGGAGCAAACGGG